CCGACCAUAACUUUAGAAGAAAUUUUUUUUUUCCCGGCGAGAAUUUCCGGCGAACUCAAAUACCAAAAUCCUUCCCCCCUCACUCUUGAAUUCGGUGGCGAAGCGUCCUCCAAGGGGAAGGAGCUCGCCGAUCAGUAAGCGCGUCUCGGGACAAGACGACUGGUUCUACUGCGACGUUGGACAGAGUUGUGUUGUGCAGCAGUAGAGUGAUUUGUCUGUUCUCCUUGUUUACGUUUGUU
This is a long non-coding RNA of Dioscorea cayenensis subsp. rotundata (Guinea yam), 239 nucleotides long. RefSeq lists it as uncharacterized. The record is from RefSeq and is a predicted model, not a curated record. Lineage: Eukaryota; Viridiplantae; Streptophyta; Magnoliopsida; Dioscoreales; Dioscoreaceae. The transcript has 3 exons.